Non-coding RNA from Vicia faba (fava bean), 282 nucleotides. The record is from the annotation of a GenBank genome assembly. Lineage: Eukaryota; Viridiplantae; Streptophyta; Magnoliopsida; Fabales; Fabaceae.
AUGACGAUAACAACAACAACAACAUCGUCUCCAACCUCCACCAAUUUGCUCUCUUCUGCAAAACCACUCGUUUCCAGUUCGAGAAGAGCCCACCUGUGCUCCGCAGGUCGCCGGGAACCAACAGAGUUAGCCACAUCCUCUUCCACCAAAGAGGAAGAUGACAAUCUCAGGAGAGUUGUUCAAAUUGGGUUGUGGGGUGCUGAGGUUGCCUAUGUUUUGUGGCUCUUCUUGCUUCCCUAUGCUCCUGUAGAAAUUAAACCUGUGAUUGUAUAUAGAGGUUGA